GACGAACGCUGGCGGCGUGCUUAACACAUGCAAGUCGAACGGAAAGGCCCUGCUUUUGUGGGGUGCUCGAGUGGCGAACGGGUGAGUAACACGUGAGUAACCUGCCCUUGACUUUGGGAUAACUUCAGGAAACUGGGGCUAAUACCGGAUAGGAGCUCCUGCUGCAUGGUGGGGAUUGGAAAGUUUCGGCGGUUGGGGAUGGACUCGCGGCUUAUCAGCUUGUUGGUGGGGUAGUGGCUUACCAAGGCUUUGACGGGUAGCCGGCCUGAGAGGGUGACCGGCCACAUUGGGACUGAGGUACGGCCCAGACUCCUACGGGAGGCAGCAGUGGGGAAUAUUGCACAAUGGGCGGAAGCCUGAUGCAGCAACGCCGCGUGCGGGAUGACGGCCUUCGGGUUGUAAACCGCUUUCGCCUGUGACGAAGCGUGAGUGACGGUAAUGGGUAAAGAAGCACCGGCUAACUACGUG
This 468-nucleotide ribosomal RNA is filed under the name uncultured bacterium. Its description in RNAcentral is "partial 16S ribosomal RNA". It matches the Rfam family "Bacterial small subunit ribosomal RNA", at positions 28 to 507 of the family's 1533-position model. The record is from RNAcentral.